AGCAGCCGCGGUAAUUCCAGCUCCAAUAGCGUAUAUUAAAGUUGUUGCGGUUAAAAAGCUCGUAGUUGGAUCUCAGUCGUUGCCUGUUGGUCCGCCUCUGAACGAGACGGCAACCAGCAGCUGCACGACAGCUUAUCAAUUAGUCUCGCCCGAGAGGGCAGACUCGAAGGUCCUGUGGUGCUCUUCACCGGGUGUCACAGGCGAUUGAUACGUUUACUUUGAAAAAAU
This 228-nucleotide ribosomal RNA is filed under the name uncultured Entrophospora. Its description in RNAcentral is "uncultured Claroideoglomus partial 18S ribosomal RNA". It matches the Rfam family "Eukaryotic small subunit ribosomal RNA", at positions 569 to 766 of the family's 1831-position model. Lineage: Eukaryota; Fungi; Glomeromycota; Glomeromycetes; Entrophosporales; Entrophosporaceae. The record is from RNAcentral.